RNAcentral lists this transfer RNA (77 nucleotides) under Chloroflexota bacterium. Its description in RNAcentral is "Chloroflexi bacterium (cold seep metagenome) tRNA-Arg". It matches the Rfam family "tRNA". From Rfam's summary of the family: Transfer RNA (tRNA) molecules are approximately 80 nucleotides in length. The record is from RNAcentral. Lineage: Bacteria; Bacillati; Chloroflexota.
GUCCCUGUAGCUCAACAGGACAGAGCGGCUGCCUUCUAAGCAGCGGGUUGUGGGUUCGAGUCCCGCCAGGGACGCCA